This 73-nucleotide transfer RNA is filed under the name Strongylocentrotus purpuratus (purple sea urchin). It matches the Rfam family "tRNA". From Rfam's summary of the family: Transfer RNA (tRNA) molecules are approximately 80 nucleotides in length. Their secondary structure includes four short double-helical elements and three loops (D, anti-codon, and T loops). The record is from Rfam by way of RNAcentral. Lineage: Eukaryota; Metazoa; Echinodermata; Echinoidea; Camarodonta; Strongylocentrotidae.
GGCAUGGUGGCUCAGUGAUAAGAGCGCCCGCCUCAUGAACGGGAGGUCGUGAGUUCGAAUCCCGGCCGAGUCA